CCAACCAAAAACUACAAAAAAGGUUACCAUUUUUAAGCAAAAUGUAGUAAAAAAAAGUUGAAAAGGGAUUGUAAAUGAAUUACUGCUUGAAAUCUGACACUCCUUAGAAUUGUGAAUAGAUUCAGUUCUUGAGCUACUCUGUGCCUAAUUUGCUUCUGUGAGUGAGGGAUUAUGCAAUACAAUAGGUUAAACUUCUACAGACCACUCUAAUUUGUUUUGCAGAAGAACAGAGAAGGAAGGGAGGAACUCUGUUUAUCAUGUUAUGAUCGAAAGCACAAUACAGUAGAAAUUUUCUGUGAAGAUAUGCUUGAAAACUAAUUUGCUGUAUGUUUGUUUCCUCUCUUCUCUGCAGCUGUUCAAUUACAAACUUACUGCUGGUCAGAAAACCAAAUAUCUAUUCUCUAGGGUAGCUACAUUGUACUCCAGUGUUUGAAGAUUUGGUUUCUGUUAUAAUUGGACUGAAAUAUUGAUUUUUUCUAAAGGAAUUCUCCCAUGCCUCCAUCUGAAUGCUAGUUGAACUUGUUUAUGUAUGUAUGCACUGUGUUUAUUAUAUCCAUAAUAUAAACCUGAAAACAAAAUUAAUUGCACGUAUGGAGGCAAAAAAAUUAAAUCAUACAGAAAAGAUCAAGGAAGAAUUUGUUAAGAGCAAAAUGAAAAAGUCAUAGGGUUAGUAUUAGUUAAAUUUUCUUGUUUGCUUUUCACAAGUCUAUGCAUAUGUCCUUUAGAAGGACAAAUAAGCUUUGAGGAGAAAAACACUUGUAGACUGACUAUUAACCAAAAGGGUGGGUGAACUUCCCUCUUAGAAGUCUCCAAAUAUUGCUGUAGAGCCCUUCAGUGAGGGGAAACCUGUGGGGCCACGGGUGGGACGAGGACUGCUCAGCUUGGUGCUGCCAGCUGCAGUGUGGAACGCCUUGGGCAGGACCAGCCUCUCCCGUGUGCUGCUUCCAGAGGGGUGCUGGCUUCAGUUUUUGUCUCACACGUGUACCUAGAGAUCGACUGGUCAUUGUUUGUUACCUCGGAGAAGAAACUACAGCUGCAGUGACAAGGCAUGGAGUUGUCUCGUUUUGCCACUGACUUAGCAAUUCAUUAUUUCCAUGGCUCUGUUUAACUACUGACAACACUUAGUGAUCUUGGAGGAGUGAAUGAAACACAGUAUGUUCUAAAUAUUGAUAUUGGUAAUGAUAUGCCAAUGUGUAGUAAGACAGAACAGUUUCAGAUGGAUAUGCAGAACAGGAGAAAAUCUGCUGCAUUACCUAUGGAACAGGACAAUGGGACCCCAAUGAGUCACCCUAUUCAUAUAUUUUUGGAGCCCAAAAGAAUUGGUUUGACUAUCUACAGAUUAUAACAGUUGGUAGUUGAAUGUUUUAUUUUCAUUCCCAGUUGGUACAAUAUGUUCACAGCUGAUGCUAAUGGCUUGCCCAUUUGAUAUCACAUAUGGUCCACUAUUUGGGUCUCCUAAAGCUUUCUUUUGUGGUCAAGCUGCUUUCAAACUUGUGUAUGUUUAGGUUUGUUCUGUCUGCUGGAAAGGUGAAUACAAAUCUCAGAAACUGGGCAGCUUUUUAGUAACUCAGUAGUUUCUUGAUAAAGAUUCAAAGGAUUUGAGACUAAAUGUCCCAUAAAGAAUAUUUUUAUAUAAAAUUGAAUAAAUAGACAUGUCUUACAAUGUCAUGUGAAAUUCUGAAAGAAAUAUCUUUCCUCUUUCUUUGUGUUUGAAGCUGUGAUUGAGUUACCCUCCAGUGUAUGGAUACCACUGAGCAUCAUCAGGACUGUUUUUGCUGGGUAUUCAGUUGUUUUGGAAACCAAUUUAUGCAUAAUUUGUAUCACUUAAAUUGUAGUUUGUAUUUUUAUUUGAAUAUUACUGUUAUGAUAGUGUUUUGUGAAAAGAUGUAAGGCAGCAAAUUAAUUUUUUUUUGGUUUCUAAAAUAAGAGCAUAGGAAAAGUGAACUAAAAGAAUAUGGGUACAGAAAUUAAAAUUACAAGCCUGUCCAAAGUUCUUCUCCUAUGAUACAAAGUGUUUAUACUGACUCUGAAACAUAACUGAUAAAGCCACAAUCUCAUAAAAAGAUUAUUUCCAAAACUAUUGCAUUACCCUCUGAGAGCUAAAAUUCUCAUUUAUUUGUAGGAGUAGAUCAUAAUAGCUCUAAUUCCCUGAGAAGUGGGCAUUGUAUGAUAAUUAGGCAGGAUAGUACAUUAAUCGUCCUCCACUUCACCUCUAGAUGUUUAACGCCUUAUCUAGUCAACCAGCAAACAAGAAUGCUCACUUAUUUGCGCCUUUUAACUAGGUAAUUUAUUUGAAAUAAAGCAGAAUGAGCAUUUUCAUGUGAAAAGGGCAUUGAAAUGAUGUUAGAUUACCAUUACUUAAUACCAUUAGGUGAAAGGAUGCAGGUCUUCUGGUUGUAUUUUUUAGCCAUGCAACUUUAGCUGAGUAAGAGCAAUGUGAUUUUGCAUCCAGGAAUAUUUCUCUAACUAAUGGGAGAGAUUUAGCAGUUUUUGCCACAUGGCUUCUGCUUUCUGCUGGCCUCGUUCUCACUGAUCCCUGUUAGGAGAUCAGGUACACGUGUAUUGGAAGUGUCACCUGUGCCUGGGACAUCUGGCUUCUGGUGCUGGAUUAAAUCAGGCAUCUGGUGAUAAGACAGAGGCUCCGUCUUGUUCAGUUUCGGGGGAAAUAGUGCAUAUUGCUGGUUUAGCAAUAUGCAAUCCCCUGGAAGGAGAUUGAAAUGGAACUAAAGUAGGAGACUCUUUCAAGUUAAUCAAGUCAAUAUUCAACCUGGAGUACAAGGGAAAGAAAAACCCAACUAAACACAAUGUUUUUGCAAACAAAACAAAUAGAUGAGAAGUAAUAUUCUGUCCUCUAAUAUGAGCAGUUUCAGGGACUUAGAAAAUGACAGAAAACUUUAGCAUGCUAAGAAGUUCAUUUGAAAUGUCUUUAAAAAAAGGACUAAGGGAAUCAAAUUAUUAAUGAAUUAUGUCAGGAUUGGACUGGGUGCCUGAUGAUGUGGUAAAAAGUAUUUCUUAGACAGGACUUGGUCAAAAUUUGGUGAAAUUUUGGGUACUCUGACUGUACCCAAGAGAGUUAAAGAAGUUAGUGAUGUUGUUGCUCCCAACUUAUUAGAUAGAAAUUGAAGAUUAUGCAAGAAGAAUUUGGAUUUAUUGGAUGCAAAUUAGGUUAUAUUCAGGAAAGAAUAUAUUUCUCAUAAGUAGCAGAACUAAGUGUUAGGAACUAGAAACAAUACUGUUGAAAAAUUAUUUUUGGGGUCUUAUAAAUAAAUCACAAGCCCACAAGACACCAGGAGCAGUAACUUGUUUGACUGUGGGUGUCUGUCAAAACAAGAGUGUAACAAUACAAAAGUGGUCAUAGCUUGGGUAUCCUGUGACACAGGAUAUCAUACAGCAUAUUCGCAUAUGCCCAUCAGAUUUGGGGUGGCUAAGCCUGCUCUGAGCACACUGUGCUAGUCUGGGCACGGUGCUGCAGCUGUGCCAGCAGCACUGGUACACGGCUGAGUAUGGCAGAGCAGCAGGGAACUGCAGAGACAGCCCUGUUGCUCAUCGUGGAGGUGCUGUGCCUUGUGCCCUCUCUAACACCAUGCCACCGUCUCCAGAGGCAGUCACAGCGUGUCCCUGUGUGCUGGACAUCAUGUCCUUCCCUCUGCUGUGUUGACUCUGGCCUCACUGUGGCCUCGGAGCAUUUGCUGCAAAGUUGCAGGACGCUCAUGUAAAGGUGGGUUUUGCAGUGUAUUGUCCAUGUCAAGGGGAUUCUGUUGGAAAGAAGUGUUACACUGAUUCUAAUCUCUGACUAAAAAGAUAAGUUGUGAUUGGUACAAGGAGAAUUAUGUACUUCCUUGGGGACUUAAAAUUUUUUAAAAUAAUAACAAUAACAAUUAUUAUUAUUAUUAUUGUUAUCAUCAUUAUCAUAGUUAUUGUUAUUAUAUAAUCCAAAACGUGUGAGUGCUUGGGCAGAAGCAUCUUCGUGUGGUGCCUCCGUUCUCUCUGUCCCGUGCAGCUGGAAUGAGUGGCAGUGUUGGGCACUGCCCUGCCCUCGGGGGCUCCUGCCAGCACACAUCAGCAGCCUGUGCUCCUGUGCCUUCUCAGCUGGAGGCUGGUACCCACCAUAGGCCAGUGGGUAGUGGUCAAGGGCCAGGGGUGAAACUGUAGGUAAGACCCUUCAAAGAGCCACCAGAAUACAGACCUCACUCUCUGCCCAACAAAUUAUUUUCUUCCCAAAGCAAUAAGAUCUUUGUAGCUCUCCACUAAAUAUACUUUCUUCUUGUUUUGACAGAGGAAGAGCCUGAGGCUGGAGCUUGCCGAGAACACCAUGUGGAAAUGAUCUGAAGAGGAUUCAGCUAAAUGGUUCCCACUGGCUGCUUUAAAGGCCCAAAGCCUGUGACCAUGUGAAAUGCAGGAAAGCAGAGCUUUGGCCAUCCCUUCAACUUCAGCUCUCCUGUAAGGCUGCCUCUCUCCUCACCAGGGCCAAAGAUAAAAGGACUCGAUACUUCGGAGGAACUUUGCCUCACAUGGUUGUAGAAUCAGCAGAGUGCUGGAAACAUCUCUCAUCUUGUGUGGAGAGAUUCAGUCCUAUACCUGAUGGGAAGGAGAAGGGAGCAGUUUUCUUUGGUCUUGGAAACCCAAGGACAUCAUUGUCUCGGGCUGGAAGAGGUGUUAAGAACUGGAACUUGUCCUUUCGAUUGACUUUUUUGCUGUGAUGUGGAGGAGAUGCAGUCCAUGUUCUGCAACUGCUAUGAGAGACCUUCUCCCAUGCCAGAAGAUCUCCUCCCUCUCCGACACUUGGCCUGGUCUAGCCUGCUCCCAUCUCCAUGAGACUCUUCCUGUUCUUGCCUAGCCCCAGACCUUGGUGGGGUCUGUCAGCCUGAAUCUUUCACCCUUCCAGGCAGGUGGACAGGUCCCGGGGGAUGCAGCUGCAGGCCCAUGACCAGCUCUGCCCACCUUGCGGGGGAAUGACCAGAGAAACUCCUGAUACCUGAACUCACCUCUUUUGGUCAGAGGUAUGAAAGGAGAAGCAACAUAUCUUUCAGAAAAAAAGAAUGAGAAUCAUCUACCUCCUGUUAAGUCAUUCUUCAGUUUUGUUAAAUUGAUCAUCCCUUGCUUUUAUUUUGUGCCCUGUCCUGGGCAUGGAUGGGGCACCCUGGUACAAUAUUUGUUAGACUCUUGAGGUAUAAAUGAAUCAUUGCCCUUAAUGGAGUUCUUACUUUAAUAUUUUUUUAAAUAUAGAAGUAUAUAAAUUUAUACAUGUGUAUAUGUGUAUAUAUAUGUGUGUAUCACCAUUCCUUUCUAGAAAAAGGAGUGAAAUAUGUAUGUUAACACAUAUCACUGUGAAAAACUUUUCUAUGUCAACAAGACCUUAAAUAUAGUGAUCAUGUUGCAAUUGACCAUGACAAUUCACCUGAGAAUUAUAUUGUCAUCAUAUGAAAUAGAAUUAAAGUGAAUGAAUGAAGACUACAGUACCCUGAACUGAGCUCCUGGGAUUAACUAAAGGACAAGAGCUUGUAAAGCCAACAGUUGAGGUUCUUCAGUGUAUAUUGUAAAUUGCCAUCUCAUCAGAUAAACUUAAAAAGAUCUCUAUCAUCUCCUGCUAGUGGUCCCUGGAGAAUAGAUGGUCAAAAAGUGAACUGUUUUUCUGGUUGCAUAUCACAUCCAAUUCUUGAGUCUGUGCACUGCCUACACAACCAUUCUUGUU
This is a long non-coding RNA of Motacilla alba alba, 5692 nucleotides long. RefSeq lists it as uncharacterized. The record is from RefSeq and is a predicted model, not a curated record. Lineage: Eukaryota; Metazoa; Chordata; Aves; Passeriformes; Motacillidae. The transcript has 10 exons.